Molecule: ribosomal RNA, 264 nt
Filed under: uncultured bacterium
Lineage: Bacteria
Description: partial 16S ribosomal RNA
Rfam family: Bacterial small subunit ribosomal RNA
Source: RNAcentral
GUCCACGCCCUAAACGAUGUCAACUGGUUGUCGGGGAAGCAAUUCCUUGGUAACGAAGCUAACGCGUGAAGUUGACCGCCUGGGGAGUACGGCCGCAAGGUUAAAACUCAAAGGAAUUGACGGGGACCCGCACAAGCGGUGGAUUAUGUGGAUCAAUUCGAUGCAACGCGAAAAACCUUACCUACCCUUGACAUGUACGGAAGCCCGCAGAAAUGCGGAGGUGCCCGAAAGGGAGCCGUAACACAGGUGCUGCAUGGCUGUCGU